CCUACGGGAGGCAGCAGUGAGGAAUAUUGGUCAAUGGGCGGAAGCCUGAACCAGCCAAGUCGCGUGAGGGAAUAAGGCCCUACGGGUCGUAAACCUCUUUUGCCGGGGAGCAAGGGCGGGGACGUGUCCCGGUCCGGAGAGUACCCGGAGAAAAAGCAUCGGCUAACUCCGUGCCAGCAGCCGCGGUAAUACGGAGGAUGCGAGCGUUAUCCGGAUUUAUUGGGUUUAAAGGGUGCGUAGGCGGGCUUUUAAGUCAGCGGUAAAAAUUCGGGGCUCAACCCCGUCCGGCCGUUGAAACUGGGGGCCUUGAGUGGGCGAGAGGAAGGCGGAAUGCGUGGUGUAGCGGUGAAAUGCAUAGAUAUCACGCAGAACCCCGAUUGCGAAGGCAGCCUUCCGGCGCCCUACUGACGCUGAGGCACGAAAGUGCGGGGAUCGAACAGGAUUAGAUACCCGAGUAGUC
RNAcentral lists this ribosomal RNA (460 nucleotides) under uncultured bacterium. RNAcentral's name for it is "partial 16S ribosomal RNA". It matches the Rfam family "Bacterial small subunit ribosomal RNA", at positions 338 to 795 of the family's 1533-position model. The record is from RNAcentral.